This 74-nucleotide transfer RNA is filed under the name Exophiala xenobiotica. RNAcentral's name for it is "tRNA-Asn (GTT) (tRNA-Asn-GTT-1-1)". It matches the Rfam family "tRNA". From Rfam's summary of the family: Transfer RNA (tRNA) molecules are approximately 80 nucleotides in length. Their secondary structure includes four short double-helical elements and three loops (D, anti-codon, and T loops). The record is from RNAcentral. Lineage: Eukaryota; Fungi; Ascomycota; Eurotiomycetes; Chaetothyriales; Herpotrichiellaceae.
UCCCCUGUGGCGCAAUUGGCUAGCGCGUCAGACUGUUAAUCUGGAGGCUGGAAGUUCGAGCCUUCCCGGGGGAG